CGAAUUGAUGGGAGCUUGCUCCCUGAGAUUAGCGGCGGACGGGUGAGUAACACGUGGGCAACCUGCCUAUAAGACUGGGAUAACUUCGGGAAANNGGAGCUAAUNNCGGAUACGUUCUUUUCUCGCAUGAGAGAAGAUGGANGACGGUUUCGGCUGUCACUUAUAGAUGGGCCCGCGGCGCAUUAGCUAGUUGGUGAGGUAAUGGCUCACCAAGGCGACGAUGCGUAGCCGACCUGAGAGGGUGAUCGGCCACACUGGGACUGAGACACGGCCCAGACUCCUACGGGAGGCAGCAGUAGGGAAUCUUCCGCAAUGGACGAAAGUCUGACGGAGCAACGCCGCGUGAACGAAGAAGGCCUUCGGGUCGUAAAGUUCUGUUGUUAGGGAAGAACAAGUACCAGAGUAACUGCUGGUACCUUGACGGUACCUAACCAGAAAGCCACGGUUAACUACGUGCCAGCAGCCGCGGUAAUAC
This 475-nucleotide ribosomal RNA is filed under the name uncultured marine bacterium. RNAcentral describes it as "bacterial SSU rRNA". It matches the Rfam family "Bacterial small subunit ribosomal RNA", at positions 67 to 526 of the family's 1533-position model. The record is from RNAcentral.